This is a long non-coding RNA of Limanda limanda (common dab), 248 nucleotides long. RefSeq lists it as uncharacterized. The transcript has 3 exons. NCBI's taxonomy places the organism in Eukaryota, Metazoa, Chordata, Actinopteri, Pleuronectiformes, Pleuronectidae. The record is from RefSeq and is a predicted model, not a curated record.
CAAACAAAGAGGCGUUAGGCUGAGACGCUGAAAGUCCGGAUUUAAAGUGCAGAAAAUUAAGCCAUUGAAUCUGCCUGUCCAUGACGUACAAAGACACACUAUGAGCCAGUAUGAUCCGACCAGACCUUACAUCAGCAUUGAGGAGUUGGCGGAGAAGAAAGAGGCUGAUUGAAGCGGGACAGAUGACAUGGAUCCAUCCUUCCACAGCCAGGAGCGCACCGACCUGUGUGAAACACUUCAUAUAAGAC